RNAcentral lists this ribosomal RNA (441 nucleotides) under uncultured bacterium. RNAcentral's name for it is "partial 16S ribosomal RNA". It matches the Rfam family "Bacterial small subunit ribosomal RNA", at positions 338 to 795 of the family's 1533-position model. The record is from RNAcentral.
CCUACGGGUGGCAGCAGUCGGGAAUAUUGCGCAAUGGAGGAAACUCUGACGCAGUGACGCCGCGUAUAGGAAGAAGGUUUUCGGAUCGUAAACCAUUGUCGUUAGGGAAGAUAAAAUACUGUACCUAAUGAUGACGCCUUGGCUAACUAUGUGCCAGCAGCCGCGGGAAUCUAUAGGGGGCAAGCGUUAUUCGGAAUUAUUGGGUGUAAAGGGUGCGUAGACGGAAGAACAAGUUGGUUGUGAAAUCCCUCGGCUCAACUGAGGAACUGCAACCAAAACUAUUCUCCUUGAGUGUAGGAGAGGAGAGUGGAAUUCCUAGUGUAGCGGUGAAAUGCGUAGAUAUUAGGAGGAACACCAGUGGCGAAGGCGACUUUCUGGACGGUAACUGACGUUGAGGCACGAAAGUGUGGGGAGCAAACAGGAUUAGAUACCCGGGUAGUC